This 484-nucleotide ribosomal RNA is filed under the name uncultured bacterium. RNAcentral's name for it is "bacterial SSU rRNA". It matches the Rfam family "Bacterial small subunit ribosomal RNA", at positions 29 to 507 of the family's 1533-position model. The record is from RNAcentral.
AACGAACGCUGGCGGCGCGCCUAACACAUGCAAGUCGAACGAGAAUCCGGGGCAACCCGGUAGUAAAGUGGCAAACGGGUGAGGAAUACAUGGGUAACCUACCCUUGAGAAGGGAAUAACCCGCCGAAAGGUGAGCUAAUACCCUAUACGCUAUCUUUUUUUCGAAAAGGAUAGGAAAGCCGGGUCGAGGACCUGGUACUCAAGGAGGGGCUCAUGUCCUAUCAGCUUGUUGGUGGGGUAACGGCCUACCAAGGCUACGACGGGUAGCUGGUCUGAGAGGAUGAUCAGCCACACUGGCACUGAGAUACGGGCCAGACUCCUACGGGAGGCAGCAGUGAGGAAUAUUGCGCAAUGGGCGAAAGCCUGACGCAGCGACGCCGCGUGGGGGAUGAAGGUUUUCGGAUUGUAAACCCCUUUCAUGAGGAAGGUAAAGUGGGUAACCACUUAGACGGUACCUCAAGAAGAAGCCACGGCUAACUUCGUG